AUGCUGGCAGCAUAUACACUAAAACUUAAAACAAUACAGAGAAGACUAGCAGGGCCUCUGCACAAAGAAGAUGCAAAUUUGUGAUGUGGUUCAUAUUUUU
Molecule: small nuclear RNA, 100 nt
Filed under: Catagonus wagneri (Chacoan peccary)
Lineage: Eukaryota; Metazoa; Chordata; Mammalia; Artiodactyla; Tayassuidae
Source: RNAcentral